RNAcentral lists this long non-coding RNA (912 nucleotides) under Homo sapiens (human). Its description in RNAcentral is "non-protein coding lnc-B3GNT10-21:29". Lineage: Eukaryota; Metazoa; Chordata; Mammalia; Primates; Hominidae. The record is from RNAcentral.
UUGUAUCAGCUCUGUGCGGUCACAUGGGUAUCUACAAAUCAAAGCACCCAUCAACCAGAUGCAUCUCUGAGAGUUAACAGCAGAAGGUGGCAUAAUAAAAGAAGUUCUCGGUAGUGAAAAAGGGCCAUGCUGGAUAAGGAGCUGGCUGCCUCUGUGAACAUCCUACUCAAGGCAUCUUCACUGCUGUACAUCCUUUUGAAAUCCCAGAGAUCUUCAGUCUCCCUGUGGAUUAAGGAGAUGUGCAGUAUUUAAAGUGGCUUCAGGAAGGCAUGGAAGAGGACUGAGUGGGGAAAGCUUUUUGUGCAUGCUGCUGGCUACCUCCAGCGGCUGCCUCCAGCCUCCAUCAGCUGCACUCUGGGGAAGAGGAGGCUGCCUUCUACCUCCCAGCAUCUCUGGAUUUCAUGUUCCUGUCAGCACAGAGGAGCUAAAUGGCCUGUAGAGGCUGAAGGUCUGAGGCUCCUAAAGCUGGAAGAAAAGGCUGGGCCAGUCAGGCCAAGCAAGAACACAGUGUAACUUGUCUCUGAGUGCUUCAUGGUUAAGGGGGCUAAGCAGGCACAAGGGCAUGAGGAUGGUUAUAUGUACAGACUGAGGGGAAGAAGCAGUGAAGAUGAGACUUGCCAUCUUCUUGAGUCAGUAGGCCUGCCUCAGGUGCCUAGGAUGUAAUUGCUCUGCUGCUUCUCAUGGGGAGGAGUGGCCCUCAUGACCUUGUUUACCUGGAAGAGUGUGGGAUGAAUGCCUCCUCCUAUGGGGACUCGCAAGUGCUUUAGCAAAAGGAUAAAUUGCUAAUUGUGGCAUUUCGUGGAUCAGCAGGAUUAUUUCUCCUUGCUAAAGAGGAUUUUGUUGGUCCUGAAUUCUGAGGAGGUGGGACUAGGAAUGGGCUCCAUGAGCCUGUGUAUGACUCAGGGAAUAUUA